RNAcentral lists this ribosomal RNA (253 nucleotides) under uncultured bacterium. RNAcentral describes it as "partial 16S ribosomal RNA". It matches the Rfam family "Bacterial small subunit ribosomal RNA", at positions 524 to 776 of the family's 1533-position model. The record is from RNAcentral.
UACGGGGGGGGCAAGCGUUGUUCGGAAUUACUGGGCGUAAAGGGUUCGUAGGUGGCCUACUAAGUCAGACGUGAAAUCCCUCAGCUUAACUGGGGAACUGCGUCUGAUACUGGAAGGCUUGAGGACAGGAGAGGAACGCGGAAUUCCAGGUGUAGCGGUGAAAUGCGUAGAUAUCUGGAGGAACACCGGUGGCGAAGGCGGCGUUCUGGACUGUUUCUGACACUGAGGAACGAAAGCCAGGGGAGCAAACGGG